AAUCAACGCUGGCGGCGUGCCUCAGACAUGCAAGUCGAACGCUGCUAUUCGCCUUCGGGUGGACAGCGGAGUGGCGCACGGGUGAGUAACACGUAGGUAAUCUACCUUUGGGUGGGGAAUAACAGCCGGAAACGGCUGCUAAUACCGCAUAAAUGCAGCGGCAUCACAUGAUGACAGUUGUUAAAGCGGGGGAUCGUAAGACCUCGCGCCUGAAGAGGAGCCUGCGGCAGAUUAGGUAGUUGGUGAGGUAAUGGCUCACCAAGCCUGCGAUCUGUAACCGGCCUGAGAGGGCGGUCGGUCACACUGACACUGACAUACGGGUCAGACUCCUACGGGAGGC
Molecule: ribosomal RNA, 340 nt
Filed under: uncultured bacterium
Lineage: Bacteria
Description: bacterial SSU rRNA
Rfam family: Bacterial small subunit ribosomal RNA
Source: RNAcentral